CCUACGGGAGGCAGCAGUGGGGAAUUUUGGACAAUGGGCGCAAGCCUGAUCCAGCAAUGCCGCGUGCAGGAUGAAGGCCUUCGGGUUGUAAACUGCUUUUGUACGGAACGAAACGGUCUGCCCUAAUACGGUGGGCUAAUGACGGUACCGUAAGAAUAAGCACCGGCUAACUACGUGCCAGCAGCCGCGGUAAUACGUAGGGUGCGAGCGUUAAUCGGAAUUACUGGGCGUAAAGCGUGCGCAGGCGGUUAUGUAAGACAGAUGUGAAAUCCCCGGGCUCAACCUGGGACCUGCAUUUGUGACUGCAUAGCUAGAGUACGGUAGAGGGGGGAUGGAAUUCCGCGUGUAGCAGUGAAAUGCGUAGAUAUGCGGAGGAACACCGAUGGCGAAGGCAAUCCCCUGGACCUGUACUGACGCUCAUGCACGAAAGCGUGGGGAGCAAACAGGAUUAGAUACCCUGGUAGUCCACGCCCUAAACGAUGUCAACUGGUUGUUGGGUCUUNACUGACUCAGUAGAGACGACGCGUGAGUGACGCCGNGGGUAAGGUACGGCCGCGAGUAGUUAACGUUACGAAGAAGUUAGACGGCGNGAGACGNGCGACGGACGACGACGAGGGAGGAGG
This 623-nucleotide ribosomal RNA is filed under the name uncultured bacterium. RNAcentral's name for it is "bacterial SSU rRNA". The stretch from base 1 to 537 matches the Rfam family "Bacterial small subunit ribosomal RNA", at positions 338 to 873 of the family's 1533-position model. The record is from RNAcentral.